CAAGUAUAAAAUUAUGUAAAUGCACGACAAAUGGGGCGGAACCUUCGCGCAAAAACAAUGGCUAUGACAUAAGAAUCUCAUAAUAGCGAUCAGCGCGAUAUCGGGUCUAGUCACAUCCGCCGCCGCCGCCGCCUCGUGCUCCAAGACCUCCUCAUUUCUGACACGAUCACGCUGGCGCUCCGUUAUCUCAUAGAUCGCUCCAUCAAUCCGGAGAGUGACUCUUUGAAAGCCUUCUUAAAAGAUCCGUUGUCGACUGGGACGCAAGGGAUGAGACGCCAUCCGGUUAAAUAUGUACUUAACCAGAUGGCGUCUCAUCCUUCCAAAAUAUUACAAGUCCGUGCCAGGACAUACCUAUAGAAAAGAGUAUGGCGUCUGUAAAAACAAAGUUUUAACUUCAUACGAAUGCAUUUAUUAGUCAAAAUAAUGUAGUAAUUAAAUUUAUACCGGAAGUUAAUAAGUCGAUUAGCGAAAAUAUAGUCAGGCUUAACAAAAACAGGUGUCGGAGACUGGUGCUUCCGGAGUCGCUCAAGGUCGCCGUGAGCACCUACUGCCACUCGAGCUUCCACACAAGGCACCGCUCGUGCUAAUUGUGCACACACGUGCAACGUUGUGCGUACACGGAGCACCGAGCACACAAACACAUUAGGUACACACAUGAUUCCGUGAAUUUUCAAUUCAGACAACGACGCUUUGUUCACGAUACUGACUAAACUCGAGAGAUACGAGUACCUCUCAGAGGACAGUAGCCGGAGUUACGGACGUUAACGCAAAAGUGUGUUGACCAAACCAAAAUCAAGAAAAAGCAGCCCUGCUAAGCUAUUUGCUGAAUCAGUCGCUUUAAGAAUAUAAAAGCCAGCUGAAUAGGUUUCCACAGAAUAUAUAUGUGCUGAGAUAUUUUGUAUCUUAGGCACAUUGCAAUUGUUGACUUUACCAAUAAACCCUUACAUGUUCUAACCUGUAAAAUGUAAAUUUUAGAAAGAUCAAUCUCGUGUUUACAACGACACUACAAGAUAUUACUGCAAGGUAUCCAGUUGUUGAUAUUACAGGAUCAAUCCUGAUGCUCAAUCUAGGUAAUCGCUGUCCACGCGCGUAUUAUCUAAUUUAUCGUUUAAUUUUGCAACUAGAAGACCAUAACAACAUAGCGGCUUCCUGGUAUGAAACAUGCUUUAACGUGCUGGUGUGAAACACGCUUUAACGUAGCAAAACAAAAAAACUGGCGAACUAUUGAGAACAUACUGACUUACGGAGUGUUGUAACUUGCAAGGUAUGAAGAUAUGUGACGAGGAGAAUACGCAGGUAGGUCGGCGGCUGAUUGCUAUGAGGCGGGGGCGCUGUGGGUGGCGGUGUGACGAACACUAAACAAAGCAGCGAGACCUCACGGGGCGGGCUCAGUGCACGGCCUCAUUCUCACACUCAAAUUUUCAUUUUCCCGGAAAAAAAUCAUGUCACGACUCGGCACCAAGUAAAAUUUAUUCAUUUCGAGACUUUAUAUACGUAAAUACAUCAUGCAUCACGCCGCUUAAGAACUGAUUUAUGUUUAAUUUAUUCUCAGGCUUAACCAAAGCAUAAGCAAAAGGGUAACAGUUCAAAGAUUUCAGACGAUAGUGUGGAAACCCGUGGCCUCUACAAACAAUCUACGAGUACGUGGACUCUGGACGUCCAUCGAAAGAAACGAUAGCUGAUGAAAUUUUCCGCUAAUAGAACGUUAGGAGACCAAACUUUUUCACGUGCGUCGGGGGCGUUCAUCGCGCGGAUUUCGUGGCCCGUCCGCACCGGAGAAAAUUAGGUCACCGUCGGAGCAAGGUUAAGGACCAUCGAACUGCGUCACAGCGACCGCCCUCCCCGCGCCCGCUCCCGCCUCGUCCUGCCAUGGGAAUAGCUACUUGUAACCACGGCCUGUGUAGCAUGCGCCAGAUUAAGUUUCAAGCUUAAGAAAUGAUACAGUUGCAAAUAGCGCAGCUAAAUAAAUAAUUUUAUGAACUUGGAACCUUACUGCAUUUACAAAGUGAUGAUUGGUUCGAAACUUGUAUUACAUGUUGCAAAAUUACAUUUCCUUUUUAUGACUUUGUUUCAUAAAAAGGCCUUUGUCAAAAGCUCUCAAUGCAAUAAAGUAAAAAUAAAACUAAUCAAUUAAUUUUCGUACAGUUUUUACCAAUAGAUAAGAUGAAUCUUAAGGAAGUUUUAGAUAUUCAAAUUGUUCAUUAUAAAUUGUGAAAUAUGACAAUGUUUUUGAGAUGUUUAUGAAUCAUGCCGACUCAAAGUUAUGUCUGAGGCGCGUAAUCAAAUAAAAUCCCUUUCCGCCCUCGUCGAUGUAUCAUCAUCAUCACAUCAGCGGCGGGGGUCCACAGCUGCACAUUGGCCUUUUGUAGGGAUUUACCAAGAAUAUUAUUUCCUGAACCGCCUUAUGAUUAGCAACUCCCUGUUUCAGUCGCACCGGACGAGCAACACCGGACGAGCUGCGCUUUUCUGAGCGGGGUUGCCAUUCCAGCAUCUCAGGACCUGUCCAUCAACUUAUCGAACAUCGACUGAUUGCCUAUUGCCACUUCAGUUUCACAUCUAGCUGAGGUACAUCGGAGACUUAGUUCUUCGGCGAAUUGCCUCAUCUUUACUAUGGAAACACUCAGACAAAGAUACGUCUAACGUCUGCCGGCCAGAACCACGGACAACUAGCCUGACGAAUAAGCUCAUUUAUUAAUUAAACAAACUCACAAUUCACAUGUAUUAAUUGGGGCAUGCUAAUUAAAAUAAAUAAUAACUAGGCCGUCUGGCUGGAAGUGGUCUGCGUCGAGCCGCCGCGGCAGCACUCAGCAUCCGUGCUCAUGCCGGGCCAGCGAUACGCUCCGACAUGACACGUGUCGACAGCUACACACGAGCAUGAGUAGUAUAAACAAACGUGAGUCGGUUUCCUAGCAGCGAUUGAUCUGAUAGCUCGCCGACGAUUGUGUCACGGAUUACAGCGAUAACGGAAAGUGUGCCAAUCGCUAUCACGGUCAACGUAUCGUUAGCGUUAGCGAUACGAUAACUUUUUAUGGCAAUGUUUUGAUACAUUCGGGACGGUGUAUGACUUGAGAAAUUUUAGUACUAAGCUAAUAAUCCUGAAACUACAAUAACCUAUUUCAAGCGUUAAGUAUAUUGUUUCAUGAACAUAAUACGUACACACCUCGUAAGAAAUAUUUCACUUGGACAUCUGUAAAUUAACAAAUUGGUGCAAUUCUUUUCGUAAUUUUCUUUCGGAAUUGUACUUAAUCGAAUCAGCACCAAGUUUGCGCUCUCAUUUUCCUUUAAUAGUAAAAUGACACCGUCCUCGUUGUCACCGCGCUAAGGGCAGCAGCACACGCGCUACUUCUGCAGUAGCUAGCAGCUUGUACUGCUGAGUAUUCUGAGCUAAGGCUCGUAUGACUCGUACCUUUGCUAUACGAUGUGCGCUAUGCUUCGUCAGCGUAUGACACUAUGUGUAUUACAUGCGAUACCCUGCAGCAAGGUUCCAUCGGAUCCAGUUGAUUUAUUGCGUUCUAUUUCUGUGUCAGUACGGAUUUGGUGUUCGGAAGACUCCACAAAAUACCAAUGCCCUUAGGUGAACGUUUGCCUGCUGAUAUGAUAAUGAUGGUUAUAUUACAACUUUUGACAUUGCACCCAUUAAGGGAAUCGGUGCAAUAAGUCGCUCGCAGAAAUGCUGAUAUCUAGAUCCUCUAAAGACCAACCGCUUCUAAAUUCUGUCAAGUUUUCACAUUUGACCAGGUCGCCACGACUGGAGAUUGCCGAACAACUGCCAAUGCGAAAAGUAUCCCGUGUGCUGCGUCCUUUAGUUGUCGCUAACGGCCCGCUUUAAGGUUAACGAGGAUCAUUCAUCCUAAUUCGCGACUCGUCACGGAGCCGGCGCGCAAUUAACCCCGACCGCGACACCGGCCGGCUUUGAUCCUGAAAUAGACCUUGGCUCAUCACGACACCACAGCGGCGGCUGAUUUUUUGAUUUACGAGCACGUCGCCUGCGUCCGACGUCGGUGUACUUCGCUCAAUAUGACGUUUCGACACUUGGUUUACGUACAAGAACUUGAACUAACGGGGAAAAUGACUGGAUGUGAGAAUCUGUCUCAACCAAUGAAAAAUACUUUUUUAUCAAAUCUAGCUUUUAACAACAGAUGUGCACAGUAGCCUACAAUAAUAGAUUGCAACUACGAAACUUCUGAUAAGAUGAUAAAUUGAUAACAAAUGGUUGAACUAGACUAUUUAUAGACCAAUAUUUGGAUCUUAUUCUAUUCUAAAACAGCAUUCGCCAACUUAGAUGUAUAAUGUGGUUAGUGGAUAGUGUAAUGUUAGUUAUCUAUCGCGAGACUGCUUGUUGCUGCGCCCCGCUCGCGACCCGCUUCUCGGCUCCUUCCGAGAGUUGACUAUUCAUGUGAACCACUGUAGAGGCGCGGCCGUUGAAGAGUCAACCCGUCAUCUUUAUGUGAUGAGCUCAGUGGAGUACUUCGAUGCAAAAUGCCUUGGUUCGAAAGAAAUUCGAUAUUUUUGCCAGCGAGUAGAACGGUUUUAUCAAAAUCAGUAAUUUUCUUUUAUUUAUUGAAAACAACGUGUAUCUUAUUUACAAUAUUAUAAUACCAUUUAGGCACAGAUCGAGGUAAUUCACUAACAGUGGAAUUCAUAGACGUUGUAGGGGCACCCCGAGGGGAUCAUUCAGCUGCUGAGUGUCGAAUUUAAUUUCUAUUGGUUUGGGAAUUUGACAAUCCGCGAUUGAAUAAUCCCCUGGGAGUGUUCCUACAACGUCUAUGAAUUCCACUGUAAGUUUAUCAUUAACAAUAUUAUAGUAUAAAACUGGCAACGGCAAAACAAACGGUACUUACUCGCAGGCGCAUCGUUACAUGCAACAAGUACAUGACAGCGAGUAGGUACAUAUCUAUCGUCAAGUACAAAACGCUCGAGCGAUGGCCUCAGGCCACUGGACGGCAGGAUUGUCCAACACUUACAAUAUUUGCAGUUGCAAUGUACUUAACUGAUGUUAUCGAUCAUUUCUGUCCUAGAUACGAUGCAAUGCUCCGCAUGCAUGUAAUGCACUGUACGACAUGGCUCUUUACCACGCACUGCAAGAAGCCGGACAGGCUUCCAUUCUUAUGUCAGUGUUAUCCGUAAUAUUUUCGUUUCUUCAUUUCUUAUACGCAUAGCUGCUAGCUAUACUACAAAAAGUUAAGACUGCUCACUGUGUGUUCGUCUUCGCUAAAAAUCGCACGUCCCGUUCUAGCGGGAACACAUUGUAGUCGCUCCUACAUGUGCUUGUAUAGAACAGAUUUUACACAAUAGCAAUCUGUAAUGCACUAAUAUUAGCAAAUUGUGAUGAUAAACGAGGACACUGUUCGUUCAGCGGUGCGGCGAUAGAACAACACUAGGGCUUCCCGCCAUGUUACUCAUCGACUUCUCUACAAUCGCUAACGCUUCGAUAAUUAAAACUUGUAUGGAAUGACAUUCGUUAUCGAUAGGUAGGGUAAUUCCAGGAUACAUGCCCCAGUGGGAUAGAUGACUUGAUUUUCAUUUCACUAUGUUAGGAGCACUGUAGGAGUUAAAUUUUACUGUAGGUAACGAGUCCUCCCCCUGCAAACCUUAGUGUCGGGAGGAAUUUCGACCGGAGUGCAUGCGUUUCGUCUAUGUGAGUAAAAAUGUUCCGCGGUGAGACGAUAAAAGGCGCCAAAAUAAGAUUCAAGAGCAAAAUACCUCGUAAAUAUAAAAGAAAACAGGGUGUUGUCCCUCGUACUGUAACCUAGACCGAAGACAGUAUGCUAGCAAAGUUUGAAGAGAUGAAAAAGAGAGAGAAAGGCGUAAAUCAGAUUUCUAGAAUAUAAGGAAUACCAUCUAAAAUAUUAAGACGAAGAUUUGCCGUUAACAGCAAUUCUUAUUUUCAAAGUUACUGUAUGUGUUGUUGCUUUAAAUUUGAAUUACUUUUACUUUGUAUUGUAUUGCAUCAUAUCAUUGUAGUUACUGUCCGGCAUGAUUAUUACUGAAAAAAAUUAUAUAUAUCCAGCAUUUAUUUUUAUUUGUUUUAUGAAAACAUGCUGUAAUAACAAAAAACGACUCGUGGCUCUUACAUUCAAAUUAGGAGAAGCUGGAUUUCCGCUGGACCGAACAGCAAUACGUCAGUUAGCAUACCAGUUUGCUAAAAAGCUACAGCUAAAGUAUAACUUUGACAAAGAUGGCAAGGAAAUGACUGACCAUAAAUACUGAUUAUAAUAAUAUAUGUAGUUGUUUGAUUACAGAACAAACCAAUUACAAUGUUCAAUCUAAGCCGCCAAUUCCCACUAAGGGCACCUAUCCUCAGAAGUUUUUUCAUGAUAAGUCUUCUAUCCGCCACAGUAGGCGUCUAUCCCAUUUUUUAGAGGUCCAUAAAAUUACAAUUUACACAAAAUCUACACAGUCUAUAUCAAAAAGAUUCAGAUAAUAUAGAACAUUAAGAAAUAUAUUUAAUAUCUCCCAAAGAACGCAAUCCUCUAAGAUUAUAAAAUUCGGAGUUAUUUAGCAUUUUCGAAAAGUGGGGCAUCUAUCCUGGACUUACCCUAUGUCACGUAAUCAAUACAUCAACGGGAUAGGUCUUUCCCGUACAUGUUUUAGAAUUAGUGUUACACACGGUUAGGUGCCCAGUUGUUCUUCACAGCCACGGCCAAGCCAAAAAUGCCCGCGUCAUUGUAAGUAAUUGCGGCCUCUGUGCGAGGCAUCGCGGCUCGUGACGGGCGCGCCUCCAUAUAUGUCUGGGAAAACUGCUUUCUAGGAAAUUCGUUAGGUCCUACCGGUGCGCAGGCGCUUUCACCGGCGAGCGGCGAGCGGCGCCGGCGCCCACGCGCGCGACAUAAUGCAGCGCCCAUGUCGCAGACUUGUGCACUAUAUAGUUGCUUAUGCUUACACCCACUUAAUACACCAUUUAACUAAUUAUGAACGAAAUAUUUUCAAUGUCGCUACAAAAAUUAAAGGAAAGCAAUAUUGGAUUAAAGAAAAGAAAUAAUGGUUCAUAUGUUUAAAGUUAUUUCGAUCAAUCUUACCUAAUGAUCGAUCAUACGAGUACGUACGUAAGUAAUCUGAAGAUCAUAUACAAUUUAAACUAAAUUCAAGUAGAAAAUUCAAAAACAUUAAAUAUUUGAUGCAACUCAUAUCAUAACUUCAUUUGGAAGUUCGUUUGACCAUUAUUUAUAAUAAAGUUUUUAAACAAACCUGUUUAUGAUGGUGAUUAUUAGCAAUAAUGAUUGAAGGCAUUACCAAUAACGUUAAGUAUAACAAUUUAGCUGCAAGUACUUAUAGAACAAUAGUGGAAGCACCCACUAGCCAGUGGACACCUUCGCUAGAAGCUGCUUAUCUCGCUGAUUGCGAACUUUCUCUACGAUUAGGAAAUACGAGCAAAUAUAAUAUAAAGCUUUAUUUUGAGCUCAGCAUUCAGCAACGCACCGUGUACCACGAGUGUUUAAACUUUUGAGUCAAGUCGAUAUAUCGAUGGUCCUUUUAUUUUAAUUAUUAUCAUCAUCAUCAUCUUUUUCACAGCUUCUCUCAUCGUAGGAGACGGUAAACUACGGAGUUUACGCGUAAUGCCACAGCUAGUAAUGCCUUUGGGGCUACAAUCGUUAGUGGGUGUUAAUGAUAAAGCGAUUCGGAAUACAGAAUUCAGGUUACCGGAAUCGAUUGACGACUUUGACGGUCACCUGUGAUCGACGACACGUUGCACAGUGGUAUGCGCGGUGGAUUUACAAGACGAAGGUCCUGGGUUCGAUCCCCGGCUGGGCCGAUUGAGGUUUUCUUAAUUGGUCCUGGUCUGACUGGUGGGAGACUUUAGCCGUGGUCAGUUACCACCCUACGGUCAAAGACGUAACCGCUAAGCAAUCUAGCGUUUCCAUAAGAUGUCGUGUAGAAACCGAAAGGGUUGUGAAUUUUCAUCCUCCUCCUAACAAGUUAGUCUGCUUCCAUCUUAGAUUGCAUCAUCACUUACCAUCAGGUGAAAUUGUAGUCAAGGACUAACUUGUAAAAAAAAAAGAUUAGACACCGAUUUCCGAUUUAUUGAGCUGCUGGCGAUUGAAAAUUUCUUCAAAUUUGUACAUCGCGGUACACCCAACUGUCCGCCAGCGCAUUAGCUAUUAUUACAUUUAGAAAGUGAAUUUCCGCUCAUAUGCUAAUCCGUACGAGAUAUGACAAUUGGGCCCUCGCACAAUAGCGCUCAUACUUUUACCUUUACCGGCUCGCGUCGGCCGAGCGUGCCCGCCACCGCCAGUCGCCACUUUGUGCUCUCUACACACUUCGGACGGUACAACUCCUCUACAACUUUACCAGUCUGAGUAUACAUAUAUCGUGGCGUAUAACGAAGUGCCCCAAAUGUUAAACUAUUAACCAGUACACUCUCGGUACGCCCCGGGGACGCAGCCCCCCAGCGUCGCGGCGGGUGGCAGGUCGCUCACCUGUCCGCGCUAUCAGUCCGCUCACUGUUGACGUCCUCAAUAGCGCUAUCGACACGAUUGCGUCGAUAACGAGCCCAGGGCGCCGGCAGCUAUCGGCGGAUCAGCUUAAUUCGCCGAUGAGCUAUAAUUGCCGAUUAAGAUUUAGAUCAAACACGUCUGCGAUUUAAUAUCACUAUAUUAGUACGAUAUACGCUGUUGUAUUCACUUAAUGUUUAUUAAGGUGGUUAAUAGAGUAAAGAUAGCCAAUAUAAAAUGUUCAUUAACCUGUUUUACGAAUAACAUAACAAUAUUCUAUCAAACAAUUAAAUAUGCAAUACAUUCACGUAAUACGAUAUUACGAUCAACUGUAAAACAACAAAAAUUGAAAUGGUCGUGAAGAAGACAAUACGAGUGCACAGGAGCGUCUCUGCCGCCAUCCAUACACUACAUACAAAGGCACUUCGUCUGCGACCGCGGCUGCAGCGCUGCUGUGACGUAACACUGCGAGCAGUGGAAGACAUAACCGCCGACAAAAACAUCUCUUAUGUAAAUGCAGAGCUCGCACAAAAACGUUCGCCCCGAGCGAAGCGACAAUACAUGGCUCGCACAAAAACGUUCGGUUCGUGCUCGCAAAAACAAUUCGCUUACGAGCACAUUGUGCCGGGCCCGCUCGCGACCUACUCCUCGUGUUUCAUUACAAAUCAAUUUGUCACAAUCAUACUCUUUUUGUUUGACAUUAGGUUUUUGUACUCGAUUGCAAGGUACAUCACGGUGAUAUCACCUUUCGAUAACCCGGCGGUAGUACGGAAAGGUAUUGUGUUUAUUAAAGGAUAGGUUAAAGAGCGAAGCGUCAUUAAAUUCCUACAAUGACUCUAUCGUAUAUACAUAUAGGCUAUACAAGGCUUCUGGAUGAGUAUGCCUGUAUGCUCACUAACAUAGAAACGCGAGAUAGAGCUCAUUUAUUAUAAUCGCUCGCAGAAGACAUCAAUAUAUUAGUUGACCAGAAAACGAAUAUGGGACUACAAGUUUCACACGGCAACACCGCACCCUCUGUUAGGGAAGACGAACAAAGUUUUUCAAUAUCUCAAGUAACUCCAAAAGGGCGUCAAAGAAAGCAAACUACAAAAAGAAACAAGUUCGAUAUUCCGCAAAAGUUGUACAACACAAGUUUCGCUCGUGUUCACAAAAGCAUCUCCAUAAAUAUCGAACAUUCGCUUGUAUUACAGUUGGUGCGCACUCGAUAACUAAGUUAUUCGCAACAUCACACACUAGUUAACAAAGGAAUUAUUGUUAAAACAUAUCGCAUUGAUAAACACUGAUUUUCUACAACCUACAUUUCGAAAGACGUCUGCUUAUAUAUCCUGUUUAACUUAAACAGUUGAAGUGGAAUGUCAAUAAAGCGAUCGGUAGAACGUCCGCUGCCAAGAAUACCAGACUUUAAACUAAAGAAAUGAUGUAGAGUACGUGAUAUGAGUCCUCGUGAAGCAGUUCACAGUGAAAUAUCACUUCAACAGCAAUUUUAAAAUGCCAUCGGCUAGACGGUAGACGGCGGGACGCGGUUCCGGCGGCGCCGCUCGCCCGCAGAGCAGACGGCGCAGACGAUACCCUGAAGUGAGGUCAAAGAUCUACGGCCACUUGCGACUUCGUCCUGCAGACAUUAGUAAUAUGCAAAACAACUAAUAUCUGCGCGAAAUGCGAAUAUUGGUUUGAGGUUUUUGCUUUCCAACUCGAGGUUUCGAGUCUUAGUUCUACCAAUUAAAUACGAGCUUUUCUUUUUUCUUAGAAAUUCUUAAUAGCAGUUCGGGCAGUUGGGGUGGGGUAUAGAUGUAUGUAUACAGUGUCGGUGGGGUCACGACUCUCGGCACGGGCACCUCCCGGCCCCCUCAAUAAGUCGGCACGGUGAUUACCGCUCGCCACGCGUGCUCGUCCGUCACGCAUCUACGGACAAGCCGACUUGGAACUCGUUAGCGCGCUUUAACGUUCGAGUGGUCUGCAUCGACCCGCGGACAGUUACCACAUUGACGAGGUGAACUGCAAUUGAAAUUGGAAUAUUUAGCGGUUAUCAACAUCGCGUAUAUUGAUUGUUUUGCCCUUGUACCCUUAUAUGGCUCCGGAUAUUCACAUACGGAUUGUAGAGACCCCUGAAAUUGCAAAUUGUAGCGCAAAUCAAGAGACGUCACAAAUUACAAGAUUCAACUACAAAAAACUUCAUCAACUGGACUGGAAUGAGGGUAUAAGUGCAAUACAUCUAAAGCUAUCAGCUAUCAAACUUAAUUGCAUUAAUCAAGAGUGUACCAGCAUCAGGCCUGCUGGAGUCGGUGAGUGUGUGGCGCGUCCGACGGCGCGAUGCAAUCAGUCGGUGCACGGGACAGGGGGACGCGACGACUGUUUGUACAUCCUUAUUAGAUUGCAACUUACAUUUCAAUUCUGGGUGGCAUAUCUCCCAGUCAUAGUACUAUUAACACAAUCAUGCUAAAAUAUUAUGACUCGAACGCUCGAGAGAUUAUUAAUGGACCUUAAAAAGUCUUUAAAUACAACAAAUGCAUUCCCAAGUUCACAUAUGUUCACACGACAACGUUUUUUCGAGCAGUGUUGCUUUUUCAAUUUUGGACGUUGGAAACAGACCUUCAUUUAACUUCAUACUAUAUUUGAACACUUUUAACGUCCGUUAAAAAAACUCUCGUGCGGAUGAGGACUUAAUGUGUCAAGCCUACGGUGGAUGGAAAAUUAAGUUUUUAUGAAGUUUCUUAUUGUAUGACGCAAUGAGGACUAUUACAACUCACAAGGAGAUUGGCCAAAACGCACCAUGACCACGGUCUAGACGAUCUGUGGUCAUAUUAGAAACCGCAGCCGCAGCAGAAUGGUUGCGCGGAAAUUACGAAGUACACACGAACGAGCACGAAUUAUGAGCAAAAAGUUGCCCGUCAGCGAUCCGGCAGCCUUGUCCGCAUCGCUUGCACCGCUCAAUGCUUAUCUCCGACUGUAUUAUUGUUAAAGAAAUAACUGAUAACUUCAGAAAUAGUAGAUCAUUAUACUGUUGUCAUCAUUACCAUUAAGGACCCAUCACAAGGCCAGGCCUCCCUCCUUGUAGGAGAGGGGAUGUGGAGCUUACACCCACCACACAGCAUCAAUACGGAUUGGCGGGCUUUGGGUAAUAAUGUUCAAUUUAUUAACGACUAAUAACAAAUGAAAACUCAGUAUCUCAUAGCCUGACCCAAGUUCAAACCUAGGACCUCAUGAUCCGACGUCACACAGUCUAACCACCACCAACGAGGCAGCGUUUAUUAUUGUAAAGCGAUAAGAAUACUGUCCGUCCGGUGCCAGGGCGCAUCAACGCAGUUUUGACGGGUGACAAUUUCAACGCUUUCGUGAAAGUUACCGGAGGAAAAGUUACACAAACACGCAGAACAGGAAGACAUAACUUUCGCACCAACACUCGUGGCUCUGGGUUAAGCUGAACGUUUUUGAAAGUCAGCACUAUUAAACUAAGCUUGCGGGCCGCGUAUUGCGACCAAUUUACAGAUAACUUCAAAUUUUGUAAUGAUUCUACCCUCUACUCAAAUGUACAAGAUUUUCCUUAAACCUCACCAAUUGAUAAAAAUGUUAAUUAGGUGCAAAUUAUAAAUUACUCUAUUUCUCGAGUGAAGAUGGAAGUCAGUCGAAAUGUCGUGAAGGGAAUGAGGCCCUUGUAUUGUAAUUGAAAAAUCCCUCAAUCAUAUAUUUCAACAUAUAACAUUCAUACUAAUAUUAUACUCGUUAAUGCGAAAGGAAGUCUGUUUGUCUGUCUGUUACCUUUUCACGGCUAAACGGCUAAACCGAUUUAGAUGCCACUUGUUAAAUUGGACCUUGGAACAUACCUAUGCUACUUUUAUUCCCUAAAAGUCUGUGAUUUUCGUGGGAUUUAUAAAAAACAGAAUUUCACGCGUUCGAAGUCGCGGGCGUUCACUAGUAGACUUUAUAAAUGUGUUUUAACACAUUGAUUUAAACCGGACUGGAAGAUUGUAAAAUCUCGAGCAUCCACUUAUAGACUUUACAAUCUUUCAGUCCUUUUUAAAUCAAUGUGUUGAAAUUUAUACCAGCCACACGCCAACCAGUUCUCAAACUGAUAGGUACUAGCUUCGUUUGCACACGACCUCCAAACAGCAUGAUUCUCAGUAUUCAUUGAGAACGAAACGUUGCAAAAAACUCAACUAGAUUACAUAAAAGGAUAUUUAUUCAUUGAAAUGAACGUAUUUAAAAUAUUUCAUUUCAAUAAAUACGUAAGUAAUUGAGAAGAGAACUAGAGAACUAAAAAGCAGCAAUGACUUAUCCCGAAGCAAUGACUUAUAGCGUGACCACACGGCACACACUUUCGCUAUGCAAACGGUUGCGCAGACAAAAGUUAGAGCUAGGACUUCGUAGAGACAAGUUACGACUUCAAUUUUCAGGCAGCUUGGAAGGUACUUUUACAAAUAAGAGCACAAUUUUGUUGACAGAUUAUGAUACUAACUUUAUUUAAAGUUAAACCAAGUUGACUAUAAACUGACACGUCAAAGUCUGACAAAGUCUACGCGUGGUCUACACUCUUCACAGUGAUGUCUGACACCGUCUCAUGUCUACACAUCUCUGUACACCAACGUAUGACUUCUCAAACACGCUGCACAGACUAAAGUCUGUGCCGUGGCCCGUGUGAAGCCAACCUUAAUCUCGGCGAGUAGUUCUGGUACGAGCUCAACAUCAUUAGCGACGCAUUAUUUCGCUGCAACACAAGUGCUGUCAGAAAUGUACACUUUCGACGAUGUAUCAACGUCUACAGUUGUGAAACCCGUUAAAGGAAAUGGCCGUAGAACUUUCGCUCCACUUUAGCCGUUCAGGAAUUAUGUCUCUUUCCGGAGUUCUACAUCUUAUACAAACCCUGGUACCCAUUACUUUACUAUUAGUGCCAUUGGCAGUAGGUAAAACAGGCUAUUUUCUAUGUACACUUAUUAAAGAUGUGAAUAAAAUAAAAUACUCAUCACUCAAUACGGAAGAAUCAAGAUUCCACGCACUCAUUGUACGAACUUUUUAUGGCACGUCACACGAAAACUAGCUAAAGCUGAGAUUCAGAGUUAUUACGUUAUUUAUUUACGAGUUAUUUAUGUUAUUACGAUUGUUAUAGUCUCUGUAUACGUAUGAUAUGAUAAAUGCAAGUCAUUAAACAAACAAGCAAGAAACCUUACAACGAAACUUCGUACCUAUUUGUUUCUCAUCGAUUUUAAACUAAGAGUGAAAGCUGUUCAGUUUCCGGCGAGGUCCACGCAACAUUUUCAAAUCCUCUGCAAUGGUGAUAGAGCUGUGACACCGUCACGCUACAUAUCUACCAUGUAAAAGGUUGAAAGGUGCAUAGUAAUGCGUUCACGUCGCACGAAACUAUCGCAACCCUUCUCGAGAGAGUUGAAUGAUUUCAGAAGCAGUUGUUAAUUGCGAAACGUCGGCUAUUGUGCAGCAGCGAUUACAGUAACACGCCGAUGUGUGAACUGCACUGCACAGAGAUGAACAGUCAGCGUGCACCAGCGGGUAGGCUGAACAGUUGAGUGAGCAGUCUCAGCGCCGAUCCCAAGCGCCCUGGACCUUAAUAUUAUUUGUAAGCCUACAAGUUUUUGUUACGACAACAAUGUUGUUGUUGUUGUUAUUGAAACAACACAAAUACGCACUUUCACUAUUGUGAUUCAAUCAUUCAGUCAAUACCAAAGUUGAAAUCAAAACGAAUUUUCCAGUCAAUAAAGAUCAUUAGCAUUAGUAAUUAUUGGUAUCGUCUUUGUAGACGGCUUUUAUAUAACGCAUCGAAUGUCGUGAAAUAGGUACAUGCUCCAAAUCUCGUGAUACCAUAUUCAAUAAGGCAAACGUUGACGCAGCCAGUCCCAGCACGGUACAGCACAACCGGUGCCGGCGCCUGCCUUGUGUGCUGCCGCCGGCCGGUUACCGCUGACAUGUUGACAUCGUUGCAGUUUUUGUGCGCGCGCCCUUGCUACUACUGCCACAGUGGAAAGCUUGGCUUCGAUUAUCAGAGGCAUUGACGCAAACUAUUCCCACUCACAUAUCCUUACCCACUAUACUCAUAUAAUUUUUUUUUUAUUAAACUUGAAAACAGUGAAGACGAUGGUAUUAAUGAGUAAACAAUAUUUUUGGGACUACAAUAUUGCUUGAAUGAAAGCUUAUACACUUAUUUAUGAGAAGAAUAUUUUGAGAAUGCUCUGGAAACAUACAUUUGUAGCAAUUAGUCUAGCAUUAGAAAUGGCGGCGUAACCUCGAAGGAGCUACACUCCACACCACCAGUACAGUCGGGACCUAUUAAAUAUUAUAGAAGAAAAUCAUUCUAUCCAAUAUCUAAGGUCCCGACUGUUUUCUAAUUGCUUUCUACACUUCUGGACUGAGCUUGUUUUUUUUUUUUAUUUUCAGUUUUUUUAUACUUUAUGCAGUCGGGUUUUUUAUUUGUUUAAUUAUUACAUUAUGGUUAUUGUGAUAAGGCUAAAGAUGAUACUAUUAUACAUAUAUGUAUUCGUUUACAAUUUCGAGUGCAGCGUUCUCAACUAUAACUGGGUGGAGCGAAACAUGAGCAUUACACAUUAUUUUUGUUUUGGCCGUAUUCGUUUUCAGGCCCACCUGUUGAGAAACUGUGCUGAGCUCAGCAGCAGCAGAAUUUACACUAUCGUGAGUUUAUUCAUAUUAAUUUGUUAUGAUUCAGUUUGAAUCGUGCCGCGUUGCAAGAACCAGCUCAUGUCUAAGGGCCCCGUAUGGGUUCAAAACUAAUAGGGCAUAUUCCGACGUUGUAUCACGUGAAUUUUAGCCGUGUUUCCUAUUAAACUAUUAUAUUUUGUUGGGCACAGCAAAGAAAUUUCGCUAUCUAUAGCACGUUGCAGGUUGGCGGGUUUGUGUGUCUUAGGAUGUCUUUUUAUACUCUGUAAAUCAGUAAUAUACAUCUGGUAUGAGUCACAGUGACCCAGUUCUCAAGUUUCAUGACCGAACACACUAACCCUGCGGUUAGCGACCACCGCGCCGAGCGCAGAGUACACACUUGACCGCUCGACCACUUUAUUAAUAUACUCGUACUCGUAGUAGCUGAUCCGGCAAACGUUGCUCUGUUAUACAAAAAUACUAAAAUCGCGAUUAUAUAAUGGAGGAUGGGAGGAGGGCAAAGAUUAGUUUACUACCUAGUCUUAGACCUACAGUAUAUGCCUAUGAAAAACUCAAGCCAAGCCGUUUCGCAGGAGUUUGCCUCCAAACUUGUCUAGAUUUUUAUACAUAUAAUGCGGAUGGAUGAUUGGUUCGUCACAAGUGUUCACUGCAGGCAGCGUGAUGUGACAGCGUGCGGGACACCACACACCGGACACAUCACGCAAUACAACAAUAGGCAUUGCGCGAGGCGGGGUGAAAGCUGCACACGUCAGAUAUGAGCUAUUAUGAUUGUGUCAGCAGAACAUCUUUCCGCCUCACGGGUAUUACAAAGUACUAAGGAUCAACAUUUGAAAGGUGGAGUGACACAAACUACCACUCACACCUCGCUAGCACAGAUCUCCUGUGAGCGGCAUCACCAACUAGACAAAAGCACCGUUAAUUGGCUAUUGAAAUAUGUAAUGCUCUAUAACUUCAAUUGCAAUACCGACAAUAUAAUACGUGCCGUCCUACACGUGAACUUGGAAUUUACUGUUUGACUGUUGCGAACAAUCGCAAUUUUCCAUGAAAUGGAGCAGUCGUUUUAGGUGCACAAAUAAAAUUAUCCAAGAAAUAAAAAGUCACACACUCUCAAAUUUAAGUGCUAAUUACAAGUUUAACUGUUAACGUUUCGCUGAAUAAAAUAAUAAAAAUGUGGAAAAGUUAUGCCCGUGCGCGUUAACUUGACACCUGGCUACCAAACAUAAAUACAAACAGUACAAACAUCAUUCGAGCCAGGUGUCAAGUCAUUCCGGACGAGCUGUAUAUACGAAGCCUUUUGUGACCGCGCGUGGCCCGCGCUUCGCACCUUGCGCCUCUCGCAGGACAUUUAUACAUUUACGUAAUUUACUAUUUACUUAAUUUCGAAAAUUUUUAUCUUUAAUUGACACUACAUAAUGCUUAGCACCAUAUUUUUAAUAGCCAACUACGUCACAGGCCUGCUCUCUUUUGUAAUGCCUGUCAGUUAUAAGGGAGUGACUGAUACGGAGUUACGUCGCAGGAUUACAGUAGGCCCAUGGUAACAAUGUCCAUAAGCUACAAACAGUGUAAAAGUAACAACUUCUAAAAAUUAACAAAUUACGGUUAAAGUCCCCAAACAUUUUUGCUCACAUUUGAUCAUAUUAGUCCCUCGCCACGCAGAAUAGUUUGUUCCGCGCGGGGCCCACAUCACGCCAACAACCAACAGCUAGAGUAGGUACAACAACUGGUUGGCAGACAAUAGUCGCCGCCGAGCGUGUCACAACACACGAGCCAACGACCUACAAGCCAAUUAAUAACACCUCUACUGUACUCGCCCUUACAUGAUAUCGCAAAUGAAAAUCUUUUGUGGCAACCUAUUGUUUAAGUGAUCAACAACCCUUGAAGGGCUAUAUUUUUCGAUGUAGAUUAUAUGUACAUAAUUAUGUAUAUAAUUAAAUUAAGCAGCGAUCUUAACAAUUACUCAAAGGAAAAUGACAUAGCUCCGAGGGAUACAAUUACAUAUAUUAUGUACCCAUUACUCGUAACGAGCUCUUGGAAUAAUUUAAUUUCAGGUAUCCAAAGCUGCUGUAGUAGAAUCCUGACUUAAAGAAUUUGGAUCCCGUAAGGAUAGUUUCCACCGACCUGUAGUAACGCAAUUAGAUAGGCAAUCGGAGCGGUUCUCGGGGUUUUGAAUUUUAGCACGAGUAGGUCGGUGCGUCAGCGUCAUUUACAAGUUGUUUUCAAGGAUCAUUUAUGUAGUUUGGUUGAGCAGGAAGUAUGGGAGAACAACACAAGCGACGAGGGUGAGUGUUGAACCUACACAACUCCCGGGAUUUUCUCUCUGCUGGAAUCCGAACCCGGCAGCCGCACGGUAAACACGUGCAUGGAAUGCUAAGACAGUCGUAUCUUUAAGGAAACUGCAAUAUACAGCUACAAAUACUAGCCGGAUGAUGCUCAACCUACAUCUGACUCCACGGCUGCUGCGUGCUACAAGCAUUAGAACAAGCGUACUUAUGUUACUAAUCAGCUCUGUGCACGCGCCAGUAGCUCUGAAGACCACAACACGACUGUGGCAUCGUUCAAGCAGCACCUGUAGCUAUUCUGUUACCACAUUUUUACAACUCGUCAGUGAGACUUUCGCAUUCGUCUCCAUCACGGUACUAUAGACAGUGAGAGAUGGAGACGAAAUCAAAGUUCACAUGGUAACAGAAUACGCUACGCGGAGACGAUGCGACAUCGGGCCCAUGUGACUACGACGUUGUGUACUUAGCUGUACAAUUCGUGUAAUUAUAACUUCCAGCUCAGACGCGUUCACCUCGCAUAUGUUUUGAAGGAUGUAAUACGCAACGACACUUAAUUGUGGGAACGCUGAACAAUGGCCGCUCGCCCGCUGCCUACAGCGAGCAGCAGCUCUAGUACGAGAUUUGCACUAGAGCUAAUGUAUUAUGUAGGGUAGUUUACGAGCUCGACACGCUGUACUAUCUUAGGAUAGAUUGAAAAAGCAUUAUCUUUAAGCUAUUUAUUAAAAACUCAAGCCACUAUUAUUAUUAUUAUUCAAUUGUUUUACUUCAAGGUACUUGAAGUGAAACAAUUGAAACUUGAUGAGAAUUGUGUUAUGCUGUUAUUAAUUUAUUACAUACGGUUAUACGUGUACAUCGUUCAAUGUUUAACUGAGGUUAUUUAAAGUAGAUAACACAUUGUAUAGCCCGUCAAUUCACAAGGGAACAGUGUGGAGGGUCUAAGCCGUAUAUCCCCCUUAUAAGGAGGCCUGGUCCUGUAGUGGCUUGUGAAAAGCACCGCUCCCGUCGCAAAAACGUGAGAACUGAGAAGAUUCCGCACGAGAUAGUGAGCGCACCGCCGCACAAUCAAUGACAAAUGCUAAACUGUACGUACGAAGUGCAGCGCAAGUGCUGUACACUUAGUGAUGUUCGCAGACGAUGUUCAGCGCCCGCGGCUCAGUAGCGACUCGUCUGCAGACAACUCGUCUCCGAGCCUGCGCCGGGCCACGACACGGUCAGCGUCAGUGGCGACUGGUGACGCGCUACUUCUUGCCGUGUAUUGUGUGGCUGUGCGUUAUAAGUUUUAAAGUAGACGUAGAGUAGAAACGUGAAGUUCUGCAGAAUCUUAUUAUUUGAACCUGCGCCUUUACUCUCUAUUCACAUAACAUUCUACGGCGCGGCGGCGGCGCUAUUCUUUGACGGCCGCGUGGCGCAGUGGGUAGUGACCCUGCUUUCUGCAUCCACGGCCGUGGGUUCGAUUCCCACAACUGGAAAAUAUUUGUGUGAUGAGCAUGGGUGUUUUCCAGUGUCUGUGUAUUUAUACAUUAUAUAAGUAUUUAUAUGUAGUAUAUAAAUGUAUAUGAAUAUUAUAAUAUCAACUAUCUUAGCACCCAUAACACAAGCUACUCUGUAUGCUUACUUUGGGGCUAAAUAGUGAUGUGUAUUGUUUAAGUAUAUUUAUUUAUUUAUUA
Long non-coding RNA from Bicyclus anynana (squinting bush brown), 18996 nucleotides. RefSeq lists it as uncharacterized. The record is from RefSeq and is a predicted model, not a curated record. The transcript is spliced from 2 exons. NCBI's taxonomy places the organism in Eukaryota, Metazoa, Arthropoda, Insecta, Lepidoptera, Nymphalidae.